This 828-nucleotide ribosomal RNA is filed under the name Karstenula rhodostoma. RNAcentral's name for it is "eukaryotic LSU rRNA". It matches the Rfam family "Eukaryotic large subunit ribosomal RNA", at positions 81 to 925 of the family's 3401-position model. Lineage: Eukaryota; Fungi; Ascomycota; Dothideomycetes; Pleosporales; Didymosphaeriaceae. The record is from RNAcentral.
UAGUAACGGCGAGUGAAGCGGCAACAGCUCAAAUUUGAAAUCUGGCUCUCUUUGGGGGUCCGAGUUGUAAUUUGCAGAGGAUGCUUUGGCAUUGGCGGCGGUCUAAGUUCCUUGGAACAGGACAUCACAGAGGGUGAGAAUCCCGUACGUGGUCGCCUGCCUUUGCCGUGUAAAGCUCCUUCGACGAGUCGAGUUGUUUGGGAAUGCAGCUCUAAAUGGGAGGUAAAUUUCUUCUAAAGCUAAAUACUGGCCAGAGACCGAUAGCGCACAAGUAGAGUGAUCGAAAGAUGAAAAGUACUUUGGAAAGAGAGUCAAAAAGCACGUGAAAUUGUUGAAAGGGAAGCGCUUGCAGCCAGACUUGCCCGCAGUUGCUCACCCAGGCUUUGGCCCGGGGCACUCUUCUGCGGGCAGGCCAGCAUCAGUUUGGGCGGUUGGAUAAAGGCCUCUGUCACGUAUCUCCCUUCGGGGUGACCUUAUAGGGGAGGCGCAAUGCAACCAGCCCGGACUGAGGUCCGCGCAUCUGCUAGGAUGCUGGCGUAAUGGCUGUAAGCGGCCCGUCUUGAAACACGGACCAAGGAGUCUAACAUCUAUGCGAGUGUUUGGGUGUCAAGCCCGAGCGCGCAAUGAAAGUGAACGGAGGUGGGAACCCUUUUGGGUGCACCAUCGACCGAUCCUGAUGUCUUCGGAUGGAUUUGAGUAAGAGCAUAGCUGUUGGGACCCGAAAGAUGGUGAACUAUGCUUGAAUAGGGUGAAGCCAGAGGAAACUCUGGUGGAGGCUCGCAGCGGUUCUGACGUGCAAAUCGAUCGUCAAAUUUGGGCAUAGGGGCG